GACGAACGCUGGCGGCGUGCUUAACACAUGCAAGUCGAACGAUGACGACCGAGCUUGCUCGGUCUGAUUAGUGGCGAACGGGUGAGUAACACGUGAGCAACCUGCCCUGCACUCGGGUAAAACCUCGGGAAAUCGGGGCUAAUACCGGAUAUGAGCUCCUGUCGCAUGGCGGGUGUUGGAAAGUUUUUCGUGGAAGGAUGGGCUCGCGGCCUAUCAGUUUGUUGGUGAGGUAGUGGCUCACCAAGGCGAUGACGGGUAGCCGGCCUGAGAGGGCGACCGGCCACACUGGGACUGAGACACGGCCCAGACUCCUACGGGAGGCAGAAGUGGGGAAUAUUGCACAAUGGGCGAAAGCCUGAUGCAGCGAAGCCGCGUGAGGGAUGACGGCCUUCGGGUUGUAAAACUCUUUCAGCAGGGAAGAAGCGAAAGUGACGGUACCUGCAGAAGAAGCGCCGGCUAACUACGUG
Molecule: ribosomal RNA, 467 nt
Filed under: uncultured bacterium
Lineage: Bacteria
Description: partial 16S ribosomal RNA
Rfam family: Bacterial small subunit ribosomal RNA
Source: RNAcentral